Carassius carassius (crucian carp) is the source of this 757-nucleotide non-coding RNA. The record is from the annotation of a RefSeq genome assembly. Lineage: Eukaryota; Metazoa; Chordata; Actinopteri; Cypriniformes; Cyprinidae.
AGUCUCACAGGAGAGAGUCAGGAUCAUAUACUAAAGUUGAUCUUGUAGAUUUAUUUAGAAGUGAUACAUUUAUAACAGAAUGGCUAUUAGAAUAUAUAAUAUUAAGUAAAAUAGAUUUUUGACAUUCUAUUACUUCUUUUUUGUGUCUGUUAAUGAGCGACUGUCUCCAGGUAAAUGAUGUGAGUGUGUUUGCAUAUUGAUCAGAUGCUUCAGUGCUCUGAGAGUGUUUAUAGUGCUGUGAGUUUAACACUUCAUCACUGACACACACAACAAUCUUCAUCAACAUGACCUUCAUCAUCAUCUUCAUCUGGACUCUCACAGCGUUUGCUCAAGAGUGUAGAGGACAGAUCAGCGUCACUCAGAGUCCCUCAACGACAGCAGCUCAACCAGGAGAAACAGUGAAGAUCAACUGUAGAACCAGCAGUGAUGUGUAUUCGAUUGGUUCAGCUCAUUUUUUAGCCUGGUACUUACAGAAACCUGGAGAAGCUCCUAAACUCCUGAUUUAUUAUGCAAGCAGCCGUCAGUCAGGAACUCCAUCUAGAUUCAGUGGCAGUGGAUCUAACAGUGAUUUCACUCUGACCAUCAGUGGAGUCCAGACUGAAGAUGCUGGACAUUAUUACUGUCAGAGUUACCACAGUGGUUAUGUGUUCACACAGUGAUUGUGAGUUGUACAAAAACCUGUGUCAGUCAGAGUCACAGUGACUGAACUGAUGCUGCAGCUGCUUAAAGGAGGAUCUGAAACAACAUCAUCACACAA